RNAcentral lists this ribosomal RNA (497 nucleotides) under uncultured bacterium. RNAcentral describes it as "partial 16S ribosomal RNA". It matches the Rfam family "Bacterial small subunit ribosomal RNA", at positions 28 to 507 of the family's 1533-position model. The record is from RNAcentral.
GAUGAACGCUGGCGGCGUGCCUAAUACAUGCAAGUCGAGCGAACAGACGAGGAGCUUGCUCCUCUGACGUUAGCGGCGGACGGGUGAGCAACACGUGGAUAACCUACCUAUAAGACUGGGAUAACUUCGGGAAACCGGAGCUAAUACCGUAUAACAUGUUGAACCGCAUGGUUCAACAGUGAAAGACGGUCUUUCUGUCACUUAUAGAUGGAUCCGCGCCGCAUUAGCUAGUUGGUAAGGUAACGGCUUACCAAGGCAACGAUGCGUAGCCGACCUGAGAGGGUGAUCGGCCACACUGGAACUGAGACACGGUCCAGACUCCUACGGGAGGCAGCAGUAGGGAAUCUUCCGCAAUGGGCGAAAGCCUGACGGAGCAACGCCGCGUGAGUGAAGAAGGUCUUCGGAUCGUAAAACUCUGUUAUUAGGGAAGAACAAAUGUGUAAGUAACUAUGCACGUCUUGACGGUACCUAAUCAGAAAGCCACGGCUAACUACGUG